UACGUAGGGGGCUAGCGUUGUCCGGAAUCAUUGGGCGUAAAGCGCGUGUAGGCGGUCCGGUAAGUCCGCUGUGAAAGUCGGGGGCUCAACCCUCGGAUGCCGGUGGAUACUGUCGGGCUUGAGUACGGAAGAGGCGAGUGGAAUUCCUGGUGUAGCGGUGAAAUGCGCAGAUAUCAGGAGGAACACCAAUUGCGAAGGCAGCUCGCUGGGACGUUACUGACGCUGAGACGCGAAGCGUGGGAGCAACAGG
This 250-nucleotide ribosomal RNA is filed under the name uncultured bacterium. RNAcentral's name for it is "partial 16S ribosomal RNA". It matches the Rfam family "Bacterial small subunit ribosomal RNA", at positions 524 to 776 of the family's 1533-position model. The record is from RNAcentral.